RNAcentral lists this ribosomal RNA (405 nucleotides) under uncultured bacterium. RNAcentral's name for it is "bacterial SSU rRNA". It matches the Rfam family "Bacterial small subunit ribosomal RNA", at positions 355 to 774 of the family's 1533-position model. The record is from RNAcentral.
UGGGGGAUAUUGCACAAUGGAGGAAACUCUGAUGCAGCAACGCCGCGUGAGGGAAGAAGGUCUUCGGAUUGUAAACCUUAGUAGUCAGGGACGAAAGAAAUGACGGUACCUGAAGAGUAAGCUCCGGCUAACUACGUGCCAGCAGCCGCGGUAAUACGUAGGGAGCGAGCGUUGUCAGGAUUUACUGGGUGUAAAGGGUGCGUAGGCGGGACUGCAAGUCAGACGCGAAAUACCGGGGCUUAACCUCGGGGCUGCGUUUGAAACUGCGGUUCUUGAGUGAAGUAGAGGCAGGCGGAAUUCCUAGUGUAGCGGUGAAAUGCGUAGAUAUGAGGAGGAACACCAGUGGCGAAGGCGGCUUUCUGGACUGUAACUGACACUGAGGCACGAAAGCGUGGGGAGCAAACA